UACGUAGGCAGCGAGCGUUGUUCGGAAUUACUGGGCGUAAAGAGUGUGUAGGCGGUGCUCCCAGUCUGUUGUGAAAUCUCCCGGCUUAACUGGGAGGGUGCAGCGGAAACUAGAGUGCUAGAGGGUGCGAGAGGGACGUGGAAUUCCGGGUGUAGUGGUGAAAUGCGUAGAGAUCCGGAGGAACCCCAGAGGCGAAGGCGGCGCUCUGGCUCGCAACUGACGCUCAGACACGACAGCAUGGGGAGCGAACGGG
This 253-nucleotide ribosomal RNA is filed under the name uncultured bacterium. Its description in RNAcentral is "partial 16S ribosomal RNA". It matches the Rfam family "Bacterial small subunit ribosomal RNA", at positions 524 to 776 of the family's 1533-position model. The record is from RNAcentral.